AACGUAGGUUCCGAGCGUUAUCCGGAUUUACUGGGCGUAAAGCGCGUUCAGGCGGUUUGGCAAGUCGGGCAUGAAAUCUCUCGGCUCAACCGGGAGAGGUUGUCCGAUACUUCCAGACUUGAGGGCAGUAGAGGGUGGUGGAAUUCCGGGUGUAGUGGUGAAAUGCGUAGAUAUCUGGAGGAACACCGGUGGCGAAGGCGGCAUCCUGGACCAACAUUGACGCUGAGGAGCGAAAGCCAGGGGAGCAAACGGG
RNAcentral lists this ribosomal RNA (253 nucleotides) under uncultured bacterium. RNAcentral describes it as "partial 16S ribosomal RNA". It matches the Rfam family "Bacterial small subunit ribosomal RNA", at positions 524 to 776 of the family's 1533-position model. The record is from RNAcentral.